Molecule: RNA transcript, 1155 nt
Organism: Nomascus leucogenys (northern white-cheeked gibbon)
Lineage: Eukaryota; Metazoa; Chordata; Mammalia; Primates; Hylobatidae
Gene name: 40S ribosomal protein S7 pseudogene
Exons: 1
Source: RefSeq, a predicted model, not a curated record
CAUAUAAGAUGACUUUGUGUAAAUUAUGGAAAGGUAGCCUCUUCAAAGAGGCUGCCUUUCCUGGCCCAUUUAAUCCUGUCAGCAGGAGACCUUUGUGCAGGAUGCAACCUGCACAGCCUCGCAUAGGAGGCUUGGCCCAUUCCACUUGAUUGUUGUUAUUCUCUUGAACUGCUUGGCAUGUUGCCGUUCCCAAAAGGUUACCUCUGUUCUAGUCAGUCCUAGCAUUUAUAUCCAAUUUCCUCAAAAGAAAGGCCUUCUCAGUUAAUGAAUCACAUAGUCCAUGCUUUCUUUCCUUUGACUCCCAGAACCUUGAUAUUUGGUCCUUCCACUUCUGGGGGCCUUAUUUAUUCUUGCAUCGAGAUGCCUGAUCCUUUGCACUGUCUCCAUAAUUUACCUGAAUGUCUGGCUUCCUGCCUCCUGCCCUCACUUGCCUGAAGCAGAGUUGUAUUUGAGGCGAAGAGCCUGCAGCGUGGAGUUGCUUAAAAGGCAUCCUUCCGCUCUUCCUAAGCCGGCGCUCGGCAAGUUCUCCCAGGAGAAGGCCAUGUUCAGUUCGAGCGCCAAGAUCUUGAUGGCGAGAAGCCGGACGAGUUCGAGUUCCGCAUCUCCCAGGCUCUUCUGGAGCUGCAGAUGAACUCGGACCUCAAGGCUCAGCUCAGGGAGCUGAAUAUUAUGGCAGCCAAGGAAAUUGAGGUUGGUGGUGGUCAGAAAGCUAUCAUAAUCUUUGUUCUCGUUCCUCAACUGAAAUCUUUCCAGAAAAUCCAAGUUCAGCUAGUACGCGAAUUGGAGAAAAAGUUCAGUGGGAAGCAUGUUGUCUUUAUCACUCAGAGGAGAAUUCUGCCUAAGCCAACUCGAAAAAGCUGUACAAAAAAUAAGCAAAAGCGUCCCAGGAGUCGUACUCUGACAGCUGUGCACGAUGCCAUCCUUGAGGACUUGGUCUUCCCAAGCAAAAUUGUGGGCAAGAGAAUCCGCGUGAAACUAGAUGGCAGCUGGCUCAUGAAGGUUCAUUUGGACAAAGCACAGCAGAACAAUGUGGAACACAAGGUUGAAACUUUUUCUGGUGUCUAGAAGAAGCUCAUGGGCAAGGAUGUUAAUUUUGAAUUCCCAGAGUUUCAAUUGUAAACAAAAAUGACUAAAUAAAAAAUAUAUAUUCACAGU